This 394-nucleotide ribosomal RNA is filed under the name uncultured bacterium. RNAcentral describes it as "partial 16S ribosomal RNA". It matches the Rfam family "Bacterial small subunit ribosomal RNA", at positions 523 to 918 of the family's 1533-position model. The record is from RNAcentral.
ACACGUAGGGGGCGAGCGUUGUUCGGAAUCAUUGGGCGUAAAGGGCGUGCAGGCGGUCCUGCAAGUCCGGCGUGAAAGACCCCGGCCCAACCGGGGGGACGCGCUGGAAACUGCAGGGCUUGAGUACAGGAGGGGAUGCCGGAAUUCCAGGUGUAGGGGUGAAAUCUGUAGAUAUCUGGAAGAACACGAAUGGCGAAGGCAGGCAUCUGGCCAUGUACUGACGCUGAGACGCGAAGGUGCGGGGAGAAAACAGGUUUAGAUACCCUGGUAGUCCGCACAGUAAACGAUGUGCACCAGGUGGCGGGGGGUCGACCCCCGGUACCGUAGCUAACGCAUUAAGUGCACCGCCUGGGGAGUAUGCUCGCAAGGGUGAAACUCAAAUGAAUUGACGGGG